GACGAACGCUGGCGGCGUGCUUAACACAUGCAAGUCGAGCGGUAAGGCCCUUUCGGGGGUACACGAGCGGCGAACGGGUGAGUAACACGUGGGUGACCUGCCCUCAGCUCUGGGAUAAGCCUGGGAAACCGGGUCUAAUACUGGAUAUGACUCCAUGACGCAUGUUGUGGGGUGGAAAGCCCUGUGCGGCUGAGGAUGGGCCCGCGGCCUAUCAGCUUGUUGGUGGGGNGAUGGCCUACCAAGGCGACGACGGGUAGCCGGCCUGAGAGGGCGACCGGCCACACUGGGACUGAGACACGGCCCAGACUCCUACGGGAGGCAGCAGUGGGGAAUCUUGCGCAAUGGGCGGAAGCCUGACGCAGCGACGCCGCGUGAGGGAUGACGGCCU
Molecule: ribosomal RNA, 388 nt
Filed under: uncultured bacterium
Lineage: Bacteria
Description: bacterial SSU rRNA
Rfam family: Bacterial small subunit ribosomal RNA
Source: RNAcentral